UACGGAGGGUGCAAACGUUGCUCGGAAUCAUUGGGCGUAAAGCGCGCGUAGGCGGCCCUGUAAGUCCGCUGUGAAAGUCGAAGGCUCAACCUUCGAAAGCCGGUGGAUACUGCAGGGCUAGAGUCCGGAAGAGGCGAGUGGAAUUCCUGGUGUAGCGGUGGAAUGCGCAGAUAUCAGGAGGAACACCAAUAGCGAAGGCAGCUCGCUGGGACGGUACUGACGCUAAGGCGCGAAAGCGUGGGGAGCGAACAGG
Molecule: ribosomal RNA, 253 nt
Filed under: uncultured bacterium
Lineage: Bacteria
Description: partial 16S ribosomal RNA
Rfam family: Bacterial small subunit ribosomal RNA
Source: RNAcentral